Molecule: RNA transcript, 888 nt
Organism: Scaptodrosophila lebanonensis
Lineage: Eukaryota; Metazoa; Arthropoda; Insecta; Diptera; Drosophilidae
Exons: 6
Source: RefSeq, a predicted model, not a curated record
AUUACACACUUAUUUCUCUUCUCUAUUGGCUAAAUUCCACAUUAUCGAAAAAAUGCAAAAAUUCACAGUCUUUAUAUUUCAAAAUCUGAAAUUAUUGCAACCACGUCAGCUGGCCUAUCAUUAUUGCAUCAAUCGCUACUUGGACAAGAUUUACGAGAAAGGCAGAGCGGAAGAAAAUGUGCACUUUUUGAAAAAGCAACGUGAGCAACUAAGUAGUCUUCGAACCAAACUUAUCAAGGAGAAGGAGGCCAUUCGAAAGAGAAUGAAUAUACUGGACGGGGAAAUCGAAAGCAUUAAGAUGAAAAAUACGAAACGUGAAAACUGACAAACAUAAUACGGCUUGUAAAUCUUCACUUCCCCACCAAUUCAAAAAUGGAAAAUGACGUAAUAUAAUAUUAGUUAUCGGGCUCGUAUCGUUUUGUAAUUAAACAAGCUUAUAGUACAUAUAUUAAGAUUAUAGAAUUCAAAAUUUAAACCGCAAUGCAAACUUCUAUUUCUGUCUUAAGAAAUUGUAAAAAUAUUCGGCCAAGUAAAUUAUAUCUUCUACCAAUAUUCCGAUGCUAUGGAGACAAAAUACGCGACAAGGGUCUGGCAGAAGAAAAUGUUCACUUUUUAAAAAUGCAACGUGAUCAACUAAAGCAGCUUCGGCGAAAAAUACUCAAGCAACGGGAAAAUCUGGGAAAGCAAAUGAAGAAACUAGAGCAGAAAAUUGAAAAAAUUGAAUUAGAAAAGAGGGAAGAAGACAAACAAGUGAAAAACCAAACCAAAAAAAAUAGCAAGCAACUGGACUAAAAUCAGUCGAUUACUAAUAUUUCAAAUCAUUUUGGCCAAUAUGAUAGUACAAAUUAAUAAUAAUCUGAAGAACAUUAUUAAAUUCAUUGUUAAAUA